GGUUGCCGGCGAUCGUUCCAGCGUGACUUUCCGUUGUCCCAAGGAGAAUAAAUCCUCAAGACAAUGUUUCUGCUGUUCUGAAAGAGCACUACCUGAGAGAAGAGAAAUACUCUGCCUUUUAUCUACAAGGCUGCUGUGCUGGUUAGCCAAAGUGCCUGUCGAUGCUUAAAGCAGUUUCUGCUAUAUUUCUCCAGUCAGGUAUAUAGCACAAAGAUGUAGUAUUGCAAUGGCUGACCUCAAAAGUCCUUCUUAUAAAACAUUGUUGGAUCUUCGAUGUCGCAUACAUUCUGACAAACUCUAAUCAAUCUGCCUUAGUAUCAAAGGAAACUUCCUUCCAGGAUGUCCUGGAUUUGAUGUUGACCAGAUAGCACUAACCCAAAACUCAUCCAAAGAAUUACAAGGCACAGUCGAGGUAGCAUGGCU
This is a long non-coding RNA of Pipra filicauda (Wire-tailed manakin), 423 nucleotides long. RefSeq lists it as uncharacterized. The transcript is spliced from 4 exons. Lineage: Eukaryota; Metazoa; Chordata; Aves; Passeriformes; Pipridae. The record is from RefSeq and is a predicted model, not a curated record.